This 328-nucleotide ribosomal RNA is filed under the name uncultured eukaryote. RNAcentral's name for it is "partial 18S ribosomal RNA". It matches the Rfam family "Eukaryotic small subunit ribosomal RNA", at positions 1470 to 1796 of the family's 1831-position model. The record is from RNAcentral.
CCCUUAGAUGUCCUGGGCCGCACGCGCGUUACACUGAUGCAUUCAACGAGCUUAUAGCCUUGGCCGAGAGGCCUGGGCAAUCUUGUUAACGUGCAUCGUGAUAGGGAUAGAUUAUUGAAAUUAUUAAUCUUGAACGAGGAAUUCCUAGUAAACGCAGAUCAUCAAUCUGCAUUGAUUACGUCCCUGCCCUUUGUACACACCGCCCGUCGCACCUACCGAUUGGAUGGUCCGGUGAAGCCUCGGGAUUGUGGUUCUUGCCGCUUUAUUGUGGCGUGACCGCGAGAACUUGUCUAAACCUUAUCAUCUAGAGGAAGGUGAAGUCGUAACA